GUUCAGUGAUGCCUUUUAACAAAUGUCUGACCUGAACUAUAAUGUGGACAAAUGUUACUGAGGAA
Parambassis ranga (Indian glassy fish) is the source of this 65-nucleotide small nucleolar RNA. NCBI's taxonomy places the organism in Eukaryota, Metazoa, Chordata, Actinopteri, Ambassidae. The record is from Ensembl.